CUUGAAUUUCUACUGCAGCAUGAGUGGAAUGUGGGUGUAAGACACAAUGAGAUAUUAAAAGAAAAAAAAUUCACCUUGUUUUCUUCCAAUAGAGAAAGGAUUUCACCUUCUUUCCCAAGGAACCAUCAUGGCCUCAGGAUAUUUUCCAUUACUCAGAAACCGUUCCAUUACUAUGAAAGCAGGCAGGACGGCAACAGAAUAUGCACGGCCUUUCAGAUGAAAGUAAAUUUGAAAAAUUUCCUUCCAUUCCCUCAUGUUAAGACUGAAGGCUGUAGAGAAGGAUGGAAAACGUGAGUGUUACUGAUUUAGUGAAGGUUAUUGCCUUAAAGGCAGAAGAUUGUUUUCCCUGAUAUUGGUUAGCCUGGUGGAGCUGAUGUUAGGGCUAGAUGCUUUUCUUUGUUGCUGCACACAGAUUAGCUUAUUGGUUUACCUGUUUUUCAUUCACUAAGGCAAAUCCCUAAGCAAGGAGCUCCCUCGUUCUCUGACACGACAUUGAUGUAAGCUUUAUUAAAAGAUACUGUUCUUAAAAGCAGAAAGAACUGAAUGGGGGGUUGAUUUUGUGCCACAGUGAUAAUGAGGAUCAGCUAAGGAGGUCUGUUACUGGCAGAACUGGUGUGUGCUUUAAGACACACAGGGGUGCCAAGAAACAAUACAAAGUGUGAGAACAAGCAGACUGAGUCACGAUCCAUUGCAGAUUCUAAAUUGUACACUUCUGUCUCUAUAUAUAGCUCAUCAAAAGUGUCAUUUCUGCUGUCAUGAGAACUUUUUAGAUUGCCAUCACCAUAAGUAUAGCAACAACAGUAGCAUUUCUUUAUAUUAACUGUAUCUGAAUCCCACAGCAAGAUGUAGUUUCUCCUGACACAUUUAACUUGGGGAAUAUUAGGCUGGGAGAAUCUCUGGGGGAAACAGGGUACUGCUUCUUAAAUCUAUGAAAAGAGGAGUCAUUCCGGUUGACAUAGACUAUAGAGUGUUGUACUUUUUUGGAUCUGGCUGUCAGAAAUCUCCAAGUAUGGUGUGAAAGAUGUAUAAUAUUCUUUCAGCAAGGCUAUUUUUUUACAAGCAGUAUUAUGUGGGUUUGAAACCAGAAUGAGAGUGCU
This 1097-nucleotide long non-coding RNA is filed under the name Macaca mulatta (Rhesus monkey). RNAcentral describes it as "lncRNA (ENSMMUG00000063028.1)". The record is from RNAcentral. Lineage: Eukaryota; Metazoa; Chordata; Mammalia; Primates; Cercopithecidae.